GUAUACAUGGAGGUACUUUAGUGGAGGAAAGGUGAGGCCGUGGACUUUCUAGAUAACAAGGCAGACCGGACAGGUAAUCGUGAAGGUAUGUAUUAAUGAGGAAACCAGGUGCGUGAGGGGAUAGGUGAGGUAGAUAGUAGGGACGGGGGAACAGUGGAGGAGGACAGGUGGAGAGGAGUAUUCGAGGCAGGAAGGACAGGUACUCGUGAAGGCAUGUAUAGAUGAGGGAACAGGUGCAUAAUACGUAGGUGUACUAGAUGGCCAGGUAAAGAGAACAGGGGUGGAGGAUGACAGGUUAGAGGGGCGUAGCAAGGCAGAGAGAAAGGUUACUCGUGAAUGAUGAAAGAGGUGGAUAAAUAAAUGUAUAAGGAAGAAGGACGAAUAGGUAUACUAGAUGAGGAGGUAAAGAGAACAGGGGUGGAGGAUGACAGGUUAGAGGGGCGUAGCAAGGCAGAGAGAAAGGUUACUCGUGAAUGAUGAAAGAGGUGGAUAAAUAAAUGUAUAAGGAAGAAGGACGAAUAGGCGAACUAGACGGGCAGGUAAAGGGAACAGAGGUGGAGGAUGACAGGUUAAGUAGAGGGGCGUAGCAAGAUAGAAAGAAACAGUAGGUUACUCGUGAAUGAUGAAGCAUACAGGUAUAGAUACAGGUAUAGAGGUGACUACUAAGAGCCAGGUGUAUACAGGUAGUCAAAGGUAUGCUGCAGGGAAUACAGGUAAACUAGGGACAAGGUAUAAUAGAGGAAAGGUGUGGAGGCAGAGGUAAUUGCAAGGAGGAUGAGGAGGCAGAAGGAAUAAAGAUGAGGGGAAGGAGAUCCGGCAGCGAGGAGGACAGGGAACACUCCGAUAAGCCCAGGAUCAACAUAUACUGAACUUAUGUUGAUCCUGGACUGGACUCUGCGUUAUCCCGGACUAUGCCUAAGCGAGGAGAGACGUACACAAGCUAUACAUUCACGGCCAGCCAAGACAUUCCCUCCUAGCCUCGAGCAUAAACUAAGACGAGAAGACUAAAAUAUAUAAAACAUUCACAAGCUUUACGUUCACGGCCAGCCAAGACAUUCCCUCCUAACCUCGAGCAUAAACCAACACGAGAAGACUAAAACAUACCCCAUUAACGGUCCACAACGCCCAUGAUUUCUGGUCUUUCUAUUCUGUCGUUCAUAAGGAGACAGAGACAGACAAAUUGGGGGCAACUGUACUCAGGUAAACAGGUGCACUUAAAGGAAAGUGUACAGGUAGAGAAGUGAAUAUUAGGAGCCAGGUAAGAGUACACAGACAUUCAGGUGUACUCCAAACAGGUAACCAAGAAACAAGACAGGUGUGCUUGAGGGAAGGUAGACAGGGAAAGGUAAUUAAAAGGAGCCAGGUAAGAGUACAGACAUUCACGUGUACUGCAAACAGGUAACCAAAAAACGAGACAGGUGUGCUAGGAAAACGGGUGUGCUUGAGGGAAGGUAGACAGGUAAAGGCGAUUCAAAGGAGCCAGGUAGACAAAGGUAUGCUGCAGGUAAGACAGGCAAAUGAGGAACAUGCCCGAUCAGUGUACUAUGAAAACAGGUGUGCUAGAAGGAAGGCAAACUGGUAAAGGUGAUUGUAAGAUGCCAUAUGUGUGAAGGUAGUCAAAGGCGUGCUGCAAAUAAGACAGUAAACUAAGAACAGACAGGUGUAUUGAAGGUAAGGUGGGACCACUAAGAGCCAGGUGAUCACAGGUAGUCAAAGGUUUGCUGCAGAGAAUACAGGUAAACUAGGAACAAGGUAUAAUAGAGGAAAGGUGC
Long non-coding RNA from Eriocheir sinensis (Chinese mitten crab), 1772 nucleotides. RefSeq lists it as uncharacterized. The transcript has 3 exons. The record is from RefSeq and is a predicted model, not a curated record. Lineage: Eukaryota; Metazoa; Arthropoda; Malacostraca; Decapoda; Varunidae.